GACGAACGCUGGCGGCGUGCUUAACACAUGCAAGUCGAACGGAAAGGCCCUGCUUUUGUGGGGUGCUCGAGUGGCGAACGGGUGAGUAACACGUGAGUAACCUGCCCUUGACUUUGGGAUAACUUCAGGAAACUGGGGCUAAUACCGGAUAGAAGCUCCUGCUGCAUGGUGGGGGUUGGAAAGUUUUGGCGGUUGGGGAUGGACUCGCGGCUUAUCAGCUUGUUGGUGGGGUAGUGGCUUACCAAGGCUUUGACGGGUAGCCGGCCUGAGAGGGUGACCGGCCACAUUGGGACUGAGAUACGGCCCAGACUCCUACGGGAGGCAGCAGUGGGGAAUAUUGCACAAUGGGCGGAAGCCUGAUGCAGCAACGCCGCGUGCGGGAUGACGGCCUUCGGGUUGUAAACCGCUUUCGCCUGUGACGAAGCGUGAGUGACGGUAAUGGGUAAAGAAGCACCGGCUAACUACGUG
This 468-nucleotide ribosomal RNA is filed under the name uncultured bacterium. RNAcentral's name for it is "partial 16S ribosomal RNA". It matches the Rfam family "Bacterial small subunit ribosomal RNA", at positions 28 to 507 of the family's 1533-position model. The record is from RNAcentral.